GCUAGAGGUAUAGCUCAGUGGUAGAGUGCAUGCUUAGCAUGCAUGAGGCCCUGGGUUUGAUCCCCAGUUCAAAAGCA
Molecule: transfer RNA, 77 nt
Filed under: Heterocephalus glaber (naked mole-rat)
Lineage: Eukaryota; Metazoa; Chordata; Mammalia; Rodentia; Bathyergidae
Description: tRNA-Ala (AGC) (tRNA-Ala-AGC-17-1)
Rfam family: tRNA (bases 8-70)
About the family: Transfer RNA (tRNA) molecules are approximately 80 nucleotides in length. Their secondary structure includes four short double-helical elements and three loops (D, anti-codon, and T loops).
Source: RNAcentral